RNAcentral lists this ribosomal RNA (1166 nucleotides) under uncultured Flavobacteriaceae bacterium. Its description in RNAcentral is "bacterial SSU rRNA". It matches the Rfam family "Bacterial small subunit ribosomal RNA", at positions 363 to 1533 of the family's 1533-position model. The record is from RNAcentral. Lineage: Bacteria; Pseudomonadati; Bacteroidota; Flavobacteriia; Flavobacteriales; Flavobacteriaceae.
AUUGGACAAUGGAGGCAACUCUGAUCCAGCCAUGCCGCGUGAAGGAAGACGGCCUUAUGGGUUGUAAACUUCUUUUAUACAGGAAGAAACCUUUCCACGUGUGGAAAGCUGACGGUACUGUAAGAAUAAGGAUCGGCUAACUCCGUGCCAGCAGCCGCGGUAAUACGGAGGAUCCAAGCGUUAUCCGGAAUUAUUGGGUUUAAAGGGUCCGCAGGCUGUUUGUUAAGUCAGAGGUGAAAUCCUACCGCUCAACGGUAGAACUGCCUUUGAUACUGGCAAACUUGAGUUAUUGUGAAGUAGUUAGAAUGUGUAGUGUAGCGGUGAAAUGCAUAGAUAUUACACAGAAUACCGAUUGCGAAAGCAGAUUACUAACAAUGUACUGACGCUGAGGGACGAAAGCGUGGGUAGCGAACAGGAUUAGAUACCCUGGUAGUCCACGCCGUAAACGAUGGUCACUAGCUGUUUGAUGUACAUUGGUACAUUGAGUGGCUAAGCGAAAGUGAUAAGUGACCCACCUGGGAAGUACGCUCGCAAGAGUGAAACUCAAAGGAAUUGACGGGGGCCCGCACAAGCGGUGGAGCAUGUGGUUUAAUUCGAUGAUACGCGAGGAACCUUACCAGGACUUAAAUGUAAGUUGCAUGAUUCAGAAAUGGAUCUUUCUUCGGACUACUUACAAGGUGCUGCAUGGUUGUCGUCAGCUCGUGCCGUGAGGUGUCAGGUUAAGUCCUAUAACGAGCGCAACCCCUAUCGUUAGUUGCCAUCAAGUAAAGUUGGGAACUCUAGCGAAACUGCCGGUGCAAACCGUGAGGAAGGUGGGGAUGACGUCAAAUCAUCACGGCCCUUACGUUCUGGGCUACACACGUGCUACAAUGGCCGGUACAGAAAGCAGCCACUAUGCGAAUAGGAGCUAAUCUUCAAAGCCGGUCUCAGUUCGGAUCGCAGUCUGCAACUCGACUGCGUGAAGCUGGAAUCGCUAGUAAUCGGAUAUCAGCCAUGAUCCGGUGAAUACGUUCCCGGGCCUUGUACACACCGCCCGUCAAGCCAUGGAAGCUGGGGGUACCUAAAGUCGGUGACCGAAAGGAGCCGCCUAGGGUAAAACUAGUAACUGGGGCUAAGUCGUAACAAGGUAGCCGUACCGGAAGGUGCGGCUGGAAUACCUCCUUUCU